AUUGAACGCUGGCGGCAUGCCUUACACAUGCAAGUCGAACGGCAUCGCGGGAAAGCUUGCUUUCCUGGCGGCGAGUGGCGAACGGGUGAGUAACACAUCGGAACGUACCGUCUAGUGGGGGAUAACCCGUCGAAAGACGGGCUAAUACCGCAUACGCUCUUCGGAGGAAAGCAGGGGACCUUUGGGCCUUGCGCUAGCCGAGCGGCCGAUGUCCGAUUAUCUAGUUGGUGGGGUAAAGGCCUACCAAGGCGACGAUCGGUAGCGGGUCUGAGAGGACGAUCCGCCACACUGGGACUGAGACACGGCCCAGACUCCUACGGGAGGCAGCAGUGGGGAAUCUUGGACAAUGGGGGCAACCCUGAUCCAGCAAUGCCGCGUGGGUGAAGAAGGCCUUCGGGUUGUAAAGCCCUUUCGGCAGGGAAGAAAUCGGCGGGGCGAAUAACCCUGCUGGAUGACGGUACCUGCAGAAGAAGCACCGGCUAACUACGUG
RNAcentral lists this ribosomal RNA (490 nucleotides) under uncultured bacterium. RNAcentral describes it as "partial 16S ribosomal RNA". It matches the Rfam family "Bacterial small subunit ribosomal RNA", at positions 29 to 507 of the family's 1533-position model. The record is from RNAcentral.